AAUGGCCAAGACCCGGAAGUUCAAUGUAAAUGCCGUACACUUAUUUAAGUAUACAUUAUGCAUUACAUCAUUGCUUGAGUUAGUUCAAGAAAGAGGGUUGACUUCAGUACUGCAUUGUGCAGCAGAGAAUAUUCAAGAGCAACUGUGACUGUCAUAUCCAGGUAGAUCAUCACAAGAACUACAGUCUGAGGCAUCACUCGAGGCAAAUGCUCUUACAAAAGCCACACUACACAGUGUCAAAGAAGACAAUUACAUUUUAGUGCGGUAUAGCUACCAUGCAGCGUUAUAUUUUCAGUUCCCAAGCAUAUGAAGCAGAUCUGAUCAAUGAGUACUGUAAAGCGUUGAUGUCGAUCACCACUGAAGAUGUUCGCUAUUUUCUUGUGAACAUACACUGAGGAUACCCCCAUUGUGCUCACUCUCUUCCAGUAUCUGGACAAGUCACAAAAAGGUGAUAUCAAGCCUCUGAAUGACAGGACAUCGCCGCUGUGAGACUCCAACACUACUUUUAGACAAACAUUUAUUGUUAUUACCUUCUGUGUUUGUUGAAAUGUAUCAUAUGCAC
Halichondria panicea is the source of this 562-nucleotide long non-coding RNA. RefSeq lists it as uncharacterized. The record is from RefSeq and is a predicted model, not a curated record. The transcript has 3 exons. NCBI's taxonomy places the organism in Eukaryota, Metazoa, Porifera, Demospongiae, Suberitida, Halichondriidae.